GAUGAACGCUAGCUACAGGCUUAACACAUGCAAGUCGCGGGGCAGCAUUUCUUUAGCUUGCUAAGGAAGAUGGCGACCGGCGCACGGGUGAGUAACGCGUAUCCAACCUGCCCUUGUCCACGGGAUAACCCGGUGAAAACCGGCCUAAUACCGUAUGAGGUCACAAGCGGACAUCCAACUGUGACGAAAGGUUUUGCGGACAAGGAUGGGGAUGCGUCCGAUUAGCUUGACGGCGGGGUAACGGCUCACCAAGGCGACGAUCAGUAGGGGUUCUGAGAGGAAGGUCCCCACAUUGGAACUGAGACACGGUCCAAACUCCUACGGGAGGCAGCAGUGGGGAAGUAAUUUGGGCCGAAAUAGGGGCGGAAAAGACCUGA
Molecule: ribosomal RNA, 377 nt
Filed under: uncultured bacterium
Lineage: Bacteria
Description: bacterial SSU rRNA
Rfam family: Bacterial small subunit ribosomal RNA
Source: RNAcentral